GAACGCUGGCGGCAUGGUUAAAACAUGCAAGUCGAACGCGAACGGAUCUUCGGAUCCUAUUAGAGUGGCGAACGGGCGAGUAAUGCGUUUCUAACGUACCCCAAGGUGGGGGAUAGCAUCGGGAAACUGGUGGUAAUACCCCAUGAUCCAGCGAAACCGCAUGGUUUUGCUGGCAAAGGCUUGCUGCCUUGGGAUCGGGAAACGUGCUAUCAGGUUGUUGGUGAGGUAACGGCUCACCAAGCCUUAGACGGCUAGCGGGUGUGAGAGCACGACCCGCCGCAUCGGGACUGAGACACUGCCCGGACUCCUACGGGAGGCUGCAGUAACGAAUCUUCCGCAAUGUACGCAAGUAUGACGGAGCAAUGCCGCGUGUAGGAUGAAGGCCUUCGGGUUGUAAACUACUGUCAGGGACUAGCAACACAAUGAGCAGUCCCAGAGGAAGGACCGGCUAACUUCGUGCCAGCAGCCGCGGUAAUACGAAGGGUCCGAGCGUUGCGCGGAAUCAUUGGGCUUAAAGGGUGCGUAGGCGGAUUUGCAAGUGCUUUGUGAAAGCCCUCGGCUCAACCGAGGAAUUGCUUGGUAGACUGCAAAUCUUGAGGUCGGCAGAGGUUGUCGGAACCAUAGGUGUAGCGGUGAAAUGCGUAGAUAUCUAUGGGAACGCCAAAGGAGAAAUCAGACAACUGGGCCGAAUCUGACGCUGAGGCACGAAAGCGUGGGUAGCGAAGAGGAUUAGAUACCCUCGUAGUCCACGCCCUAAACGAUGUGCACUAGAUCCUGGAGGUGCUGACACCCUCGGGGUCGAAGCAAAAGUGUUAAGUACACCGCCUGGGGAGUACGGUCGCAAGGCUAAAACUCAAAGGAAUUGACGGGGACUCACACAAGCGGUGGAGCAUGUGGCUUAAUUCGAAGCAACGCGAAGAACCUUAUCCAGGGUUUGACAUGUAUGGAUUAACUCCCCGAAAGGGGAGCCACACCUUUUAGGUGGAACAUACACAGGUGCUGCAUGGCUGUCGUCAGCUCGUGCUGUGAAGUGUCGGGUUAAGUCCCUUAACGAGCGAAACCCCUGCCGUUAGUUGCUAACGGGUAAUGCCGAGGACUCUAGCGGGACCGCCGGUGUCAAACCGGAGGAAGGUGGGGACGACGUCAAGUCCUCAUGGCCUUUAUGCCCAGGGCUGCACACGUGCUACAAUGGCGACCACAGAGCGACGCAAUGCCGCAAGGCGGAGCAAAUCGCAAAAAGGUCGCCCCAGUUCGGAUUGAGGUCUGCAACUCGACCUCAUGAAGCCGGAAUCGCUAGUAAUCGCGUAUCAGCUACGACGCGGUGAAUAUGUUCCUGAGCCUUGUACACACCGCCCGUCACGUCAUGGAAGCCGGGAGCGCCCGAAGCCGUACCGUUUCAGGUAUGUCGACGGUGAGCUCGGUGACUGGGAC
This 1431-nucleotide ribosomal RNA is filed under the name uncultured prokaryote. Its description in RNAcentral is "partial 16S ribosomal RNA". It matches the Rfam family "Bacterial small subunit ribosomal RNA". The record is from RNAcentral.